RNA transcript from Harpia harpyja (harpy eagle), 2168 nucleotides. It is a transcript of the gene named WD repeat domain 88, with no coding region annotated. The record is from RefSeq and is a predicted model, not a curated record. The transcript is spliced from 5 exons. Lineage: Eukaryota; Metazoa; Chordata; Aves; Accipitriformes; Accipitridae.
UGGGUGCAAGUAUUUUUAAUGAGUCUAACGCAGAAUUUCACAUUGCAGUUUUGCAGUAUCUGGUUGUACUUGGAGUUAUUUUUACAUCUCCAAAUUGUAUAUAGCAUUUACCAUAGCAGGUCUAAACCAGUAACUGUCAUUUUGAUGCAAAUUAAGGCUAAUGUACUAAUAUUUUAGUACUAUAAUUAUAAUCUGCCUUAUUUUAUGCAGUACAAUGAAAACUGUUUAUACCACUUUGUUUCAUGCAGUACAUUUAAAACGCAGUUGUCAUCUUGUAGAAUUAUUUUAACAUAAACUCUGAAAAUAUACUGACCUGCUUUGUGAAUGAUCAGGCUAUUAAAAUAGACCCACAGAACUUCUUUCCAGGUGCACAAGGAAACCAAAAGAAUAUUUCUGCUUAAAACUAGGAACAGAAGCCUUAACUGAAAUUCACUGUUGUAGAUGGUAGUUCUCUGGGGCCUGAUUUAAUGUAUUUUUUAGUAUCCACAGCUUUGUGACAGCUCUUGAUGAGAGUAAAGUGAUGUAGUAGUCUCAUGUUGACACACAGAUUGUGCCGUUUUUAAACGUAAAGUCAACAAUAAACUUGAGCGACAGAAGGAGAAAUAAGAAAUUGGGCCUUGAGGUUGCCUCCGUUACAGGAAAAAAAUAAACCCGACAACUGCCUUGCACGGCAGUUGCUCAGAGUCUGUCCCCUGUUAAAGCUUCAAAGGCGUUUCGGCGGGAGCCGCCGCCUGAGGUAGCGCGCGGAGCCCAAUGGCGGCGGGGAGCAGCCGUGGGGAUCCCUUGGCCCUGGGGCUGCCGCCUUCCCCGGCAGAGGGUCGCUGGGAGGACCUUGAGCUGAGGGCGCAGAUCCAGUUUAAAAUUCUGAGAGGACACAGUGAUACUGUGAGCUCCUGCCAUUUUUGCUUUGAAGACACAAAAAUACUUUCAUGCUCUUAUGAUAGAACAGUGAAGCUCUGGGAUGUUGAGAAAGGUUUUCCUAUUCAAGUGUUUGAAGAAGAACACACUGCCCCAAUUUCUGAGUGCAACUUGACUCCUGAUGACAGAAGAAUGAUAACAUCAUCAUAUGAUAGCACGGUCAAGGCUUGGGAUAUGGAAACAGGAAAAAUAGUUGUAUGUAUCCUUUUGAAUGCAUCUUGCAGAAGGUACAACUGUAAAACUCAGAUUUAUUGCUUUGUUAUUGAUAAAUAAGAAAACACAACAUCCUUUGUUAGCACAAUACAAUAUAGUUAGGGUAGGUGGGCUUGAUUUUUAGUCCUAGUUUUGGUACUGAUAAUUGCUUGAUCUUGGGUUAGUCUCUUGAUGAACAUGUCUCAGUUAUUUCAGAUACAAAUGUGUAUGAUAAUAAUAACCUGCCUCAGAAGAUACAUUUAAGAUUGAUUAAAUUAACAUUUUAGGAUUUAAACAGGGUGGCCUUGUCUAAUUUUAAGUUUAUUGCCAAAGCAAAAAUAGAAAAAUUGGAUAUAAAGACAGCUAUCAGCUUUUACCAAAACAAAGUAAUAACAGAAGCAUUCUUUCUGAAUCUGCUUACCCAUUAUAGAAAGUCUGUUGUAAAACUUUCUCUAACCCUCAAGCUGUUUCUAAAAUCUUUUAUUUUCUCUUUAGUGGACAGUAGAACAUGAAGGCAUUGUAACUUCAUGUAACAUUUCUUGUGAUGGUAGAUAUGUGGUAUCUGGUUCAGACAAAGAAAAUACAGUAUAUGUUUUUGAUGCACGAAGUGCAACACUAGUAGCACAUAUCCAAGGUCAUCACAAAAGUACAAUCACAAGAUGUUGUUUUGACCCUGAUAACCAAAGAGUGACUUCAGUAUCAUAGGAUAAGACCAUAAAGCUAUGGGAUAUGAUAACACAAUCCACCUCAAUUACAAUUAAUGAGUAAGAAACUGUCCUGGUUUCAGCUGGGAUAGAGUUAAUUGUCUUCCUAGUAGCUGGUACAGUGCUGUGUUUUUGAGUUCGGUAUGAGAAGAAUGUUGAUAACACACUGAUGUUUUCAGUUGUUGCUAAGUAAUGUUUAGUCUAAAGUCAAGGAUUUUUCAGCUUCUGAUGCCCAGCCAACAAGAAGGCUAGAGGGGCACAAGAAUUUGGGAAGGGACACAGCCAGGACAGCUGACCCAAACUGGCCAAAGGGGUAUUCCAUACCAUGUGACGUCAUGCCCAGUAUGUAAACUG